CGCGAAUGGCUCAUUACAACAGCUAUAAUUUACUUGAUCUUGACUUCCUACUUGGAUAACUGUGGUAAUUCUAGAGCUAAUACAUGCACCAAAGCUCCGACCUUACGGGAAGAGCGCAUUUAUUCGAACAAAACCAAGCGGCUUCGGCCGUCCGCAGUUGACUCAGAAUAACUAAGCUGAUCGCAUGGUCUUGAACCGGCGACGUGUCUUUCAAGUAUCUGCCUUAUCAACUUUCGAUGGUAGUGUAUCUGACUACCAUGGUGGUGACGGGUAACGGAGGAUAAGGGUUCGACUCCGGAGAAGGGGCCUGAGAAAUGGCCACUACGUCUAAGGAUGGCAGCAGGCGCGCAAAUUACCCACUCUCAGAAUGAGGAGGUAGUGACGAGAAAUAACGAGACCGCUCUCUACGAGGCCGGUCAUCGGAAUGGGUACAAUUUAAACCCUUUAACGAGUAUCUAUGAGAGGGCAAGUCUGGUGCCAGCAGCCGCGGUAAUUCCAGCU
This 501-nucleotide ribosomal RNA is filed under the name Merlinius joctus. RNAcentral describes it as "SSU rRNA". It matches the Rfam family "Eukaryotic small subunit ribosomal RNA", at positions 88 to 590 of the family's 1831-position model. The record is from RNAcentral. Lineage: Eukaryota; Metazoa; Nematoda; Chromadorea; Rhabditida; Merliniidae.